This 183-nucleotide non-coding RNA is filed under the name Phycisphaerae bacterium. RNAcentral's name for it is "6S RNA". It matches the Rfam family "6S / SsrS RNA". From Rfam's summary of the family: E. coli 6S RNA was the first non coding RNA to be sequenced, but its function was unknown until recently. The record is from RNAcentral. Lineage: Bacteria; Pseudomonadati; Planctomycetota; Phycisphaerae. RNAcentral also lists the same sequence under 1 other name.
CCGCUUCUGCUGUGUGCGACAGGGAGUGAUGUUUGAACAGAACCGAUAACGCGAACCCAGGGAGACAAAUGAGCGUGUGACCCGAUCGAUCCGCUUCGUGCCGACCGUUUGGGACAUGCCUACGUCACCCACCUUGAAGCAGGGUUCCGUCAAACUCCUUCCACCGGCAUUUGCGGUAGCGGU